UAAGACCAGAGGUUUUACUGUACACACACUGAUAACAUCCGAAAAAUGACAGAUUUAAAAAUGGUUCAGCACUAUCAAUAAGCAGUAUGCAUCACCUUUUUCCAACUUUUAGCCUCUCCACUCUUUCUUCUGUCCAACUUUGGCUUGCCUAUCUUGGGUAGAUAAGACAAUGUUAGUAUUUUGCCUUCACAGCCGUUACGAUGUUCUCCUUCAGAUAUUUGAAUUGAUAUAUUUAUGAUAAUAACACAGAACGAGGGAGGACAAGA
Molecule: unclassified non-coding RNA, 266 nt
Filed under: Hevea brasiliensis (rubber tree)
Lineage: Eukaryota; Viridiplantae; Streptophyta; Magnoliopsida; Malpighiales; Euphorbiaceae
Source: RNAcentral